RNAcentral lists this ribosomal RNA (1181 nucleotides) under uncultured Halomonas sp. RNAcentral describes it as "bacterial SSU rRNA". It matches the Rfam family "Bacterial small subunit ribosomal RNA", at positions 208 to 1374 of the family's 1533-position model. The record is from RNAcentral. Lineage: Bacteria; Pseudomonadati; Pseudomonadota; Gammaproteobacteria; Oceanospirillales; Halomonadaceae.
GCUCCGGCUCCCGCUAUCGGAUGAGCCUAUGUCGGAUUAGCUGGUUGGUGAGGUAAAGGCUCACCAAGGCGACGAUCCGUAGCUGGUCUGAGAGGAUGAUCAGCCACAUCGGGACUGAGACACGGCCCGAACUCCUACGGGAGGCAGCAGUGGGGGAUAUUGGACAAUGGGGGCAACCCUGAUCCAGCCAUGCCGCGUGUGUGAAGAAGGCCCUCGGGUUGUAAAGCACUUUCAGUGAGGAAGAACGCCUGGUGGUUAAUACCCAUCAGGAAAGACAUCACUCACAGAAGAAGCACCGGCUAACUCCGUGCCAGCAGCCGCGGUAAUACGGAGGGUGCGAGCGUUAAUCGGAAUUACUGGGCGUAAAGCGCGCGUAGGUGGCUUGAUAAGCCGGUUGUGAAAGCCCCGGGCUCAACCUGGGAACGGCAUCCGGAACUGUCAAGCUAGAGUGCAGGAGAGGAAGGUAGAAUUCCCGGUGUAGCGGUGAAAUGCGUAGAGAUCGGGANGGAAUACCAGUGGCGAAGGCGGCCUUCUGGACUGACACUGACACUGAGGUGCGAAAGCGUGGGUAGCAAACAGGAUUAGAUACCCUGGUAGUCCACGCCGUAAACGAUGUCGACCAGCCGUUGGGUGCCUAGCGCACUUUGUGGCGAAGUUAACGCGAUAAGUCGACCGCCNUGGGGAGUACGGCCNNGCAAGGUUAAAACUCAAAUGAAUUGACGGGGGCCCGCACAAGCGGUGGAGCAUGUGGUUUAAUUCGAUGCAACGCGAAGAACCUUACCUACUCUUGACAUCCUGCGAAUUUGGUAGAGAUACCUUAGUGCCUUCGGGAACGCAGAGACAGGUGCUGCAUGGCUGUCGUCAGCUCGUGUUGUGAAAUGUUGGGUUAAGUCCCGUAACGAGCGCAACCCUUGUCCUUAUUUGCCAGCGCGUAAUGGCGGGAACUCUAAGGAGACUGCCGGUGACAAACCGGAGGAAGGUGGGGACGACGUCAAGUCAUCAUGGCCCUUACGAGUAGGGCUACACACGUGCUACAAUGGUCGGUACAAAGGGUUGCCAACUCGCGAGAGUGAGCCAAUCCCGAAAAGCCGAUCUCAGUCCGGAUCGGAGUCUGCAACUCGACUCCGUGAAGUCGGAAUCGCUAGUAAUCGUGGAUCAGAAUGCCACGGUGAAUACGUUCC